Molecule: ribosomal RNA, 422 nt
Filed under: uncultured bacterium
Lineage: Bacteria
Description: bacterial SSU rRNA
Rfam family: Bacterial small subunit ribosomal RNA
Source: RNAcentral
UGAGGAAUAUUGGUCAAUGGGUGCAAGCCUGAACCAGCCAUCCCGCGUGAAGGACGACUGCCCUAUGGGUUGUAAACUUCUUUUGUAUAGGGAUAAACCUACCCUCGUGAGGGUAGCUGAAGGUACUAUACGAAUAAGCACCGGCUAACUCCGUGCCAGCAGCCGCGGUAAUACGGAGGGUGCAAGCGUUAUCCGGAUUUAUUGGGUUUAACGGGUGCGUAGGUGGGCUUAUAAGUCAGUGGUGAAAUCUCCGAGCUUAACUUGGAAACUGCCGUUGAUACUAUAGGUCUUGAAUUAUCUGGAGGUAAGCGGAAUAUGUCAUGUAGCGGUGAAAUGCUUAGAUAUGACAUAGAACACCAAUUGCGAAGGCAGCUUACUACAUAUAAAUUGACGCUGAGGCACGAAAGCGUGGGGAUCAAACA